Molecule: ribosomal RNA, 508 nt
Filed under: uncultured fungus
Lineage: Eukaryota; Fungi
Description: SSU rRNA
Rfam family: Eukaryotic small subunit ribosomal RNA
Source: RNAcentral
AGCAGCCGCGGUAAUUCCAGCCCCUAUAGCGUAUAUUAAAGUUGUUGCAGUUAAAAAGCUCGUAGUUGAAUUUCGGGGUUAGUAGGUUGGUCAUGCCUCUGGUAUGUACUGGUCUCACUGAUUCCUCCUUCCUGAUGAACCGUAAUGCCAUUAAUUUGGUGUUGCGGGGAAUUUGGACUGUUACUUUGAAAAAAUUAGAGUGUUUAAAGCAAGCUAACGCUUGAAUACAUUAGCAUGGAAUAAUGAAAUAGGACGUUCGAUCCUAUUUUGUUGGUUUCUAGGAUUGACGUAAUGAUUAAUAGGGAUAGUUGGGGGCAUUAGUAUUCAAUUGUCAGAGGUGAAAUUCUUGGAUUUAUUGAAGACUAACUACUGCGAAAGCAUUUGCCAAGGAUGUUUUCAUUAGUCAAGAACGAAAGUUAGGGGAUCGAAGACGAUCAGAUACCGNCGUAGUCUUAACCCUAAACUAUGCCGACUAGGGAUCGGAUGAUGUUAAUUUUUUAAUGACUCA